GAGCCUUGGCUCAGUGGAAGCGCAUUUGCUUUGCGCGCAGACGGUGCCCGGUUCAAUCCGCGGCGUCUCGAGGUAGCA
This is a non-coding RNA of Podarcis lilfordi (Lilford's wall lizard), 78 nucleotides long. The record is from the annotation of a GenBank genome assembly. Lineage: Eukaryota; Metazoa; Chordata; Lepidosauria; Squamata; Lacertidae.